GCGGAUUUAGCUCAGUUGGGAGAGCGCCGGUCUCCAAAACCGGAGGUCCUGUGUUCGAUCCACAGAAUUCGCACCA
Molecule: transfer RNA, 76 nt
Filed under: Oryctolagus cuniculus (rabbit)
Lineage: Eukaryota; Metazoa; Chordata; Mammalia; Lagomorpha; Leporidae
Description: TRANSFER RNA from Oryctolagus cuniculus (PDB 4CXG, chain Y)
Rfam family: tRNA
About the family: Transfer RNA (tRNA) molecules are approximately 80 nucleotides in length. Their secondary structure includes four short double-helical elements and three loops (D, anti-codon, and T loops).
Source: RNAcentral